Molecule: ribosomal RNA, 464 nt
Filed under: uncultured bacterium
Lineage: Bacteria
Description: partial 16S ribosomal RNA
Rfam family: Bacterial small subunit ribosomal RNA
Source: RNAcentral
GACGAACGCUGGCGGCGUGCCUAACACAUGCAAGUCGAGCGAAUGAAGUUCCUUCGGGAAUGGAUUUAGCGGCGGACGGGUGAGUAACACGUGGGCAACCUGCCUCAUAGAGGGGAAUAGCCUCCCGAAAGGGAGAUUAAUACCGCAUAAGAUUGUAGUACCGCAUGAUACAGCAAUUAAAGGAGCAAUCCGCUAUGAGAUGGGACCGCGGCGCAUUAGCUAGUUGGUGAGGUAAUGGCUCACCAAGGCGACGAUGCGUAGCCGACCAGAGAGGGUGAUCGGCCACAUUGGGACUGAGACACGGCCCAGACUCCUACGGGAAGCAGCAGUGGGGAAUAUUGCACAAUGGGGGAAACCCUGAUGCAGCAACGCCGCGUGAGUGAUGACGGCCUUCGGGUUGUAAAGCUCUGUCUUCAGGGACGAUAAUGACGGUACCUGAGGAGGAAGCCACGGCUAACUACGUG